GCGCGCACACGCUCACACGCUCACAAGCGAACGCAGGAAAGUCGGGCUAAAAGUGUCUGCUGCUGCUGCUGCCGCCCCCUACUCCGCCUCCGGGAGAGGAAAAAAGGAAAAUUUGCUUUUCUUCAAAGACCUCUCAGAGGAUGUACAGGAAAAUGUGGCUGAUAAAGAAGAUACAUCCGGUCUUCCUUUGUUGGGGAAUUUAUAGGAGGUAGAGUCUCAGCUGUCACGCCGCUAGUAACUGAUAAUGUAAAAUACGAUGUUAUGUGAAGAAUUACAGAGGAUC
RNAcentral lists this long non-coding RNA (283 nucleotides) under Piliocolobus tephrosceles (Ugandan red Colobus). RNAcentral describes it as "lncRNA (ENSPTEG00000038944.1)". The record is from RNAcentral. Lineage: Eukaryota; Metazoa; Chordata; Mammalia; Primates; Cercopithecidae.